UACGUAGGGUGCGAGCGGUAAUCGGAAUUACUGGGCGUAAAGUGUGCGCAGGCGGCUUCGCAAGUCGAGUGUGAAAUCCCCGAGCUUAACUUGGGAAUUGCGCUCGAAACUACGGAGCUGGAGUGUGGCAGAGGAAGGUGGAAUUCCACGUGUAGCGGUGAAAUGCGUAGAGAUGUGGAGGAACACCGAUGGCGAAGGCAGCCUUCUGGGCCAACACUGACGCUCAUGCACGAAAGCGUGGGGAGCAAACAGG
This 253-nucleotide ribosomal RNA is filed under the name uncultured bacterium. Its description in RNAcentral is "partial 16S ribosomal RNA". It matches the Rfam family "Bacterial small subunit ribosomal RNA", at positions 524 to 776 of the family's 1533-position model. The record is from RNAcentral.